GGAUGUGAGGGUAAUGUGAUUAUGGCAUCUGUCACUCCGCUGGUCACCAGGGUUGAUUUGGCUGACACAGCUAGUUGGGCAGGUGUCCCUUCCUUCCUCACCAUGCCAUAUGCAUCCCUCCCCAGGAUGCAUGCUUGAGAAAGAAGACAAACUUCCUAGACAGGGGGCACACAAGUGACUUGCCCCCCCCAAACAGAGGGCACACAGGUAGCUGUGCCUCCCCAGACAGAGCACACACAGGUAGCUGUGCCACCCUAGACAGAGUACACACAGGUAGCUGUGCCU
This 285-nucleotide small nuclear RNA is filed under the name Microtus ochrogaster (prairie vole). Its description in RNAcentral is "7SK RNA (ENSMOCG00000008991.1)". It matches the Rfam family "7SK RNA". From Rfam's summary of the family: 7SK was discovered as an abundant small nuclear RNA in the mid-70s but a possible function has only recently been suggested. Two independent studies have found that 7SK RNA binds the CDK9/cyclin T complex (known as elongation factor P-TEFb). Lineage: Eukaryota; Metazoa; Chordata; Mammalia; Rodentia; Cricetidae. The record is from RNAcentral.